CGAACGCUGGCGGCAGGCUUAACACAUGCAAGUCGAACGGGUGGUAGCAAUACAUCAGUGGCAGACGGGUGAGUAACACGUGGGAACCUUCCUAGGGGUACGGGAACAACUCAGGGAAACUUGAGCUAAUACCGUAUACGUCCGUGAGGAGAAAGAUUUAUCGCCCUUAGACGGGCCCGCGUCGGAUUAGCUAGUUGGUGGGGUAACGGCCUACCAAGGCGACGAUCCGUAGCUGAUCUUAGAGGAUGAUCAGCCACACUGGGACUGGGACACGGCCCAGACUCCUACGGGAGGCAGCAGUGGGGAAUCUUGGACAAUGGGCGCAAGCCUGAUCCAGCCAUGCCGCGUGAGUGAAGAAGGUCUUCGGAUUGUAAAGCUCUUUUGCCAGGGACGAUAAUGACGGUACCUGGAGAAUAAGCCCCGGCAAACUUACGUGCCAGCAGCCGCGGUAAUCUGAUGGCGCGAGG
Molecule: ribosomal RNA, 467 nt
Filed under: uncultured bacterium
Lineage: Bacteria
Description: bacterial SSU rRNA
Rfam family: Bacterial small subunit ribosomal RNA
Source: RNAcentral